AGUUAACGGCGUAGGGUACAGAGGUAAGAUGUUCUAUCUUUCAGACCUUUUGUUUCACGUUAUUGGAUUUGGCUGAUUCAGCCGCCCUGGCCAUUUGGCCAGGGCGUUUUUUA
Molecule: non-coding RNA, 113 nt
Organism: Photobacterium marinum
Lineage: Bacteria; Pseudomonadati; Pseudomonadota; Gammaproteobacteria; Vibrionales; Vibrionaceae
Source: Rfam